This 468-nucleotide ribosomal RNA is filed under the name uncultured bacterium. RNAcentral's name for it is "partial 16S ribosomal RNA". It matches the Rfam family "Bacterial small subunit ribosomal RNA", at positions 28 to 507 of the family's 1533-position model. The record is from RNAcentral.
GACGAACGCUGGCGGCGUGCUUAACACAUGCAAGUCGAACGGAAAGGCCCUGCUUUUGUGGGGUGCUCGAGUGGCGAACGGGUGAGUAACACGUGAGUAACCUGCCCUUGACUUUGGGAUAACUUCAGGAAACUGGGGCUACUACCGGAUAGGAGCUCCUGCUGCAUGGUGGGGGUUGGAAAGUUUCGGCGGUUGGGGAUGGACGCGCGGCUUAUCAGCUUGUUGGUGGGGUAGUGGCUUACCAAGGCUUUGACGGGUAGCCGGCCUGAGAGGGUGACCGGCCACAUUGGGACUGAGAGACGGCCCAGACUCCUACGGGAGGCAGCAGUGGGGAAUAUUGCACAAUGGGCGGAAGCCUGAUGCAGCAACGCCGCGUGCGGGAUGACGGCCUUCGGGUUGUAAACCGCUUUCGCCUGUGACGAAGCGUGAGUGACGGUAAUGGGUAAAGAAGCACCGGCUAACUACGUG